RNAcentral lists this non-coding RNA (28 nucleotides) under Cricetulus griseus (Chinese hamster). Lineage: Eukaryota; Metazoa; Chordata; Mammalia; Rodentia; Cricetidae. The record is from RNAcentral.
GAGGCAGUAGAAUAAACAGACACACAAG